This 277-nucleotide ribosomal RNA is filed under the name uncultured bacterium. RNAcentral's name for it is "partial 16S ribosomal RNA". It matches the Rfam family "Bacterial small subunit ribosomal RNA", at positions 77 to 353 of the family's 1533-position model. The record is from RNAcentral.
CAAACUGAAGAUGGCGACCGGCGCACGGGUGAGUAACACGUAUCCAACCUACCGAUAACUCCGGAAUAGCCUUUCGAAAGAAAGAUUAAUACCGGAUAGCAUACGAAUAUCGCAUGAUAUUUUUAUUAAAGAAUUUCGGUUAUCGAUGGGGAUGCGUUCCAUUAGUUUGUUGGCGGGGUAACGGCCCACCAAGCCUUCGAUGGAUAGGGGGUUCUGAGAGGAAGGUCCCCCACAUUGGAACUGAGACACGGUCCAAACUCCUACGGGAGGCAGCAUG